This 206-nucleotide ribosomal RNA is filed under the name uncultured bacterium. RNAcentral's name for it is "partial 16S ribosomal RNA". It matches the Rfam family "Bacterial small subunit ribosomal RNA", at positions 568 to 774 of the family's 1533-position model. The record is from RNAcentral.
CAUGCAGGCGGUUAUACAAGUAGGAUGUGAAAGCCUGGGGCUCAACCUCAGAACUGCAUUCUAAACUGUGUGACUAGAGUAUUGCAGGGGGAGACGGAAUUUCAGGUGUAGCGGUGGAAUGCGUAGAUAUCUGGAAGAACACCAAAGGCGAAGGCAGUCUCCUGGGCAAAUACUGACGCUCAUAUGCGAAAGCGUGGUAGCAAACA